This 176-nucleotide ribosomal RNA is filed under the name Ilex arnhemensis. Its description in RNAcentral is "5.8S ribosomal RNA". The stretch from base 6 to 161 matches the Rfam family "5.8S ribosomal RNA". From Rfam's summary of the family: 5.8S ribosomal RNA (5.8S rRNA) is a component of the large subunit of the eukaryotic ribosome. It is transcribed by RNA polymerase I as part of the 45S precursor that also contains 18S and 28S rRNA. Functionally, it is thought that 5.8S rRNA may be involved in ribosome translocation. Lineage: Eukaryota; Viridiplantae; Streptophyta; Magnoliopsida; Aquifoliales; Aquifoliaceae. The record is from RNAcentral.
AAAACGACUCUCGGCAACGGAUAUCUCGGCUCCCGCAUCGAUGAAGAACGUAGCGAAAUGCGAUACUUGGUGUGAAUUGCAGAAUCCCGUGAACCAUCGAGUUUUUGAACGCAAGUUGCGCCCGAAGCCGUUAGGCCAAGGGCACGUCUGCCUGGGCGUCACGCAUCGCGUCGCCC